RNAcentral lists this long non-coding RNA (204 nucleotides) under Capsicum annuum. RNAcentral describes it as "long non-coding RNA (CANN_LNC019859)". The record is from RNAcentral. Lineage: Eukaryota; Viridiplantae; Streptophyta; Magnoliopsida; Solanales; Solanaceae.
UACACUCACAAAUCAGUCCAGGUCAUAGGCGAAAAAGAUGAAACCAAAGCCUUUAGAACUCAAAAUAAGAAACACCAACACCACAUAACUUGAACCCGAAACAAACAAACAUUCACAUGUUUAUGCCAAGAUUGUCAUAACUCCUCAAAACCGAAAUUAUAUUCGCCGGCAGAAAUCAGAAAGGCUAUAUUAACGCAAUCUUGA